CCAUUUCCAAAAAUUUCCUUGAGUCUAGAAUUCAAAUGAAGGCUGUUAUUAUGUGUUGUGUUGUGUUGUGUUGUGUUGUGUUGUGUUGUGUUGUGUUGUGUUGUGUUGUGUUUUUGAUCCAGUCCAGUGAAGGGAGCUCUGAGCAUGGAGAUUUCUUCAACAAUACCAAAAUCGUAACUGAAAAAACAAAUCAUUGUGUGACCACAGUGGAAAUUCCAGAGACACCUCAAUGGAUUGAUGCUUCUAAGAGUAAUAUCCUCUUCUACCAGUCAGAAAUUGUGAAUCACAGCCCCUUUAGCUCUGUUACUAAUCCAGAACUUUAUCUGGCUACAUACUAGAAGGCAGGACUACCAUUGCACGUGGCAAAAGGACUGCCUUCUCUUACUCAAUUCUGAGUGACGGAUGCAUAACAGCACAGACUUUUGAAAUGUUGGAAAUAAAGAGAUUUCUGUGCCAUAAU
This 460-nucleotide long non-coding RNA is filed under the name Monodelphis domestica (gray short-tailed opossum). RNAcentral describes it as "lncRNA (ENSMODG00000037813.1)". Lineage: Eukaryota; Metazoa; Chordata; Mammalia; Didelphimorphia; Didelphidae. The record is from RNAcentral.